AACCAUAGAAACCUGCGGAGUACCUGCGGAGGGAUCAUUACACAAUACAAUAUGAAGGCUGUCCGCAGCUGGAGUAUUUUAUUACCCUUGUCUUUUGCGCACUUGUUGUUUCCUGGGCGGGUUCGCUCGCCACCAGGACCACCAAAUAAACCUUUUUUAUGCAGUUGCAAUCAGCGUCAGUACAAACAAUGUAAAUCAUUUACAACUUUCAACAAUGGAUCUCAGAUCGGAAGAGCACAC
Molecule: unclassified non-coding RNA, 240 nt
Filed under: soil metagenome
Description: partial contains 5.8S ribosomal RNA, internal transcribed spacer 2, and large subunit ribosomal RNA
Source: RNAcentral